AGCGGGGUGGAGCAGCCAGGUAGCUCGACAGGCUCAUAACCUGUAGGUCGCAAGUUCAAAUCUUGCCCCCGCAACCA
RNAcentral lists this transfer RNA (77 nucleotides) under Candidatus Omnitrophota bacterium. Its description in RNAcentral is "Candidatus Omnitrophica bacterium tRNA-Met". It matches the Rfam family "tRNA". From Rfam's summary of the family: Transfer RNA (tRNA) molecules are approximately 80 nucleotides in length. Their secondary structure includes four short double-helical elements and three loops (D, anti-codon, and T loops). Further hydrogen bonds mediate the characteristic L-shaped molecular structure. tRNAs have two regions of fundamental functional importance: the anti-codon, which is responsible for specific mRNA codon recognition, and the 3' end, to which the tRNAs corresponding amino acid is attached (by aminoacyl-tRNA synthetases). tRNAs cope with the degeneracy of the genetic code in two manners: having more than one tRNA (with a specific anti-codon) for a particular amino acid; and 'wobble' base-pairing, i.e. permitting non-standard base-pairing at the 3rd anti-codon position. The record is from RNAcentral. Lineage: Bacteria; Pseudomonadati; Candidatus Omnitrophota.